This 460-nucleotide ribosomal RNA is filed under the name uncultured bacterium. RNAcentral describes it as "partial 16S ribosomal RNA". It matches the Rfam family "Bacterial small subunit ribosomal RNA", at positions 338 to 795 of the family's 1533-position model. The record is from RNAcentral.
CCUACGGGUGGCAGCAGUGAGGAAUAUUGGUCAAUGGACGAGAGUCUGAACCAGCCAAGUAGCGUGAAGGAUGACUGUCCUAUGGGUUGUAAACUUCUUUUAUAUGGGAAUAAAAUGUUCCACGUGUGGGAUUUUGUAUGUACCAUAUGAAUAAGGAUCGGCUAACUACGUGCCAGCCGCCGCGGUAAUACGGAGGAUCCGAGCGUUAUCCGGAUUUAUUGGGUUUAAAGGGAGCGUAGGUGGAUUUGUAAGUUAGUUGUGAAAUUUUGCGGGUCAAACGUACCAUUGCUGUUGAAACUGGCAGUCUUGAGUACAGUAGAGGUGGGCGGAAUUCGUGGUGUAGCGGUGAAAUGCUUAGAUAUCACGAAGAACUCCGAUUGCGAAGGCAGCUCACUGGACUGCAACUGACACUGAGGCACGAAAGUGUGGGUAUCAAACAGGAUUAGAUACCCCUGUAGUC